Molecule: non-coding RNA, 112 nt
Filed under: Paramoeba aestuarina
Lineage: Eukaryota; Discosea; Flabellinia; Dactylopodida; Paramoebidae
Source: RNAcentral
GCAAGGAAGAAGGAGAGAAAAAAGAAAAAAAAAAAUAGUCAGUUUGGUUGUGUGGAAAGGAGAGUGUGUGUUUUUCAAGGGGUGUGUGUUUUGUUUUUUUUUUUUUUUUUUU